RNAcentral lists this ribosomal RNA (516 nucleotides) under uncultured Cryocola sp. RNAcentral's name for it is "bacterial SSU rRNA". It matches the Rfam family "Bacterial small subunit ribosomal RNA", at positions 1 to 522 of the family's 1533-position model. The record is from RNAcentral. Lineage: Bacteria; Bacillati; Actinomycetota; Actinomycetes; Micrococcales; Microbacteriaceae.
CGUAGACUAGAGAGUUUGAUCCUGGCUCAGGACGAACGCUGGCGGCGUGCUUAACACAUGCAAGUCGAACGGUGAAAGAGGAGCUUGCUCCUCUGGAUCAGUGGCGAACGGGUGAGUAACACGUGAGUAACCUGCCCUUGACUCUGGGAUAACCUCGGGAAACCGAAGCUAAUACCGGAUACGACCCUCGGAGGCAUCUCCAGGGGGUGGAAAGAACUUUGGUCAAGGAUGGACUCGCGGCCCAUCAGGUAGUUGGUGAGGUAACGGCUCACCAAGCCGCACGACGGGUAGGCCGGCCGCUGAGAGGGUGACCGGCCACACUGGGACUGAGACACGGCCCAGACUCCUACGGGAGGCAGCAGUGGGGAAUAUUGCACAAUGGGCGCAAGCCUGAUGCAGCAACGCCGCGUGAGGGACGACGGCCUUCGGGUUGUAAACCUCUUUUAGUAGGGAAGAAGCGAAAGUGACGGUACCUGCAGAAAAGCACCGGCUAACUACGUGCCAGCCGCCGCGGUA